GCCAGGAUGUUGGCUUAGAAGCAGCCAUCAUUUAAAGAAAGCGUAAUAGCUCACUGGUCGAGUCGGCCUGCGCGGAAGAUGUAACGGGGCUAAACCAUGCACCGAAGCUGCGGCAGCGACACUAUGUGUUGUUGGGUAGGGGAGCGUUCUGUAAGCCUGCGAAGGUGGCCUGUGAGGGUUGCUGGAGGUAUCAGAAGUGCGAAUGCUGACAUAAGUAACGAUAAAGCGGGUGAAAAGCCCGCUCGCCGGAAGACCAAGGGUUCCUGUCCAACGUUAAUCGGGGCAGGGUGAGUCGACCCCUAAGGCGAGGCCGAAAGGCGUAGUCGAUGGGAAACAGGUUAAUAUUCCUGUACUUGGUGUUACUGCGAAGGGGGGACGGAGAAGGCUAUGUUAGCCGGGCGACGGUUGUCCCGGUUUAAGCAUGUAGGCGGAGGUUCCAGGUAAAUCCGGUACCUUUUAACGCUGAGGUGUGAUGACGAGGCACUACGGUGCUGAAGUAACAAAUGCCCUGCUUCCAGGAAAAGCCUCUAAGCAUCAGGUAACAUUAAAUCGUACCCCAAACCGACACAGGUGGUCAGGUAGAGAAUACCAAGGCGCUUGAGAGAACUCGGGUGAAGGAACUAGGCAAAAUGGUGCCGUAACUUCGGGAGAAGGCACGCUGGUGUGUAGGUGAAGUCCCUGCGGACGGAGCUGAGACCAGUCGAAGAUACCAGCUGGCUGCAACUGUUUAUUAAAAACACAGCACUGUGCAAACACGAAAGUGGACGUAUACGGUGUGACGCCUGCCCGGUGCCGGAAGGUUAAUUGAUGGGGUUAUCCGUAAGGAGAAGCUCUUGAUCGAAGCCCCGGUAAACGGCGGCCGUAACUAUAACGGUCCUAAGGUAGCGAAAUUCCUUGUCGGGUAAGUUCCGACCUGCACGAAUGGCGUAAUGAUGGCCAGGCUGUCUCCACCCGAGACUCAGUGAAAUUGAACUCGCUGUGAAGAUGCAGUGUACCCGCGGCAAGACGGAAAGACCCCGUGAACCUUUACUAUAGCUUGACACUGAACAUUGAGCCUUGAUGUGUAGGAUAGGUGGGAGGCUUUGAAGCGUGGACGCCAGUCUGCGUGGAGCCAACCUUGAAAUACCACCCUUUAAUGUUUGAUGUUCUAACGUAGGCCCCUGACCGGGGUUGCGGACAGUGUCUGGUGGGUAGUUUGACUGGGGCGGUCUCCUCCCAAAGAGUAACGGAGGAGCACGAAGGUUAGCUAAUCCUGGUCGGACAUCAGGAGGUUAGUGCAAUGGCAUAAGCUAGCUUGACUGCGAGCGUGACGGCGCGAGCAGGUGCGAAAGCAGGUCAUAGUGAUCCGGUGGUUCUGAAUGGAAGGGCCAUCGCUCAACGGAUAAAAGGUACUCCGGGGAUAACAGGCUGAUACCGCCCAAGAGUUCAUAUCGACGGCGGUGUUUGGCAC
This 1450-nucleotide ribosomal RNA is filed under the name metagenome. RNAcentral describes it as "bacterial LSU rRNA". It matches the Rfam family "Bacterial large subunit ribosomal RNA", at positions 1092 to 2524 of the family's 2925-position model. The record is from RNAcentral.